Molecule: long non-coding RNA, 1349 nt
Filed under: Equus caballus (horse)
Lineage: Eukaryota; Metazoa; Chordata; Mammalia; Perissodactyla; Equidae
Description: lncRNA (ENSECAG00000048667.1)
Source: RNAcentral
AGAAACAAAUUUCUGUUGUUUAUAAGCCAUCUAGUCUUUGUUAUAGCAGCCAGACAGACUGAGACAAUUGCAUUUACUAAUUAUUAUGCAAUUAACCAGAAAAAAAUUUUGUUUCAAUAGAGGGAGCUGAAAAUACUUCUAAAAGUUUUAACACCAAAUUCCUGCUUUGCUAGCUCCUGAGCAUAAGAUAAGUAAAGAAUCUGUCAUAUAUCUGAGUCAUCAUUUUUUGUAUCAGUUUUCUUAGAAAUAAGACUCUUAGUCUGACUGCUCUCUAGGACAUCCACUAGAAAUGCUUUUUUUGCCAUUUGUUGAAUUGUUUACUGGAUUUAUGAUGCUUUAUAUUAUUUAAAGCUUUCUUACAAAAAAUAAAAAGUAAAUACUAUUAAAUAAUGGCCUAAGAUAAUCACAGUUUUAGUAUAGAAAGCACCAAUAUCUAUGGGCGCACAAGAUGUUUACUGUCAUGAAUCUUGUGUUUGUAGAAGAUUUCUCCAUAACAAAUUGAAUGAUUUCAUGGAGAAAAAAUACUUGAUGGCGAUAAAACCUAUUUUUGGGAAAACUCCAAAUCUAUAAAAUCAUUUAUAUAAAAGGUGGACAGCCUUAAUACUUUACUAGAAAGGAUAAAUGGCUAAGAUUUAGUGAUCCAAGAAUCAAUUCUAAAUCAAGAAGUUAAAUCAAAUUCCAAAUAAUGUGGCCAAUAUAGGCCCAGUGCAGCUUUCUCCAUUACAUCAGAGUCAAAAAUUCCAGACUUUCAGUAGGCAGAGCAGGGUUUGACGCUUUGGGCAUAUUACUUAGUUUUACUAAUGCUUCACUUUUCUUGACCAACAUGAGGCCAUGUGUGUGAGAAAACCUUUGGAAAAUCCAAUGUUGUAUGCAGGUGGUGGUGAGGGUGCUCAUUACCAUUUGUCACAAAGCAAUCUUUUCUUCAUCUAGAGGAAGAUGAACUCCAUAAAGUAUUGAGUGUUCCUAGAAUGCGAUCCUGCAAGGCAGCAAGAAAACAGAUGUAUGAAGUGUUCUGCAAAUUUUCAGGUCAGAAGCAGAGAAUUAGAUGGAGAACCUGAAGGUCAUCUGAUGGGAGCACAAAGACAAUGGCUGCUGCAUUAGCCUGGUUUGCAGAAUGAAGAUGACAUGGGGCAGAGCCACAGCUGGAUCAGGAUGUACCAAGAGCAUGAAUAAGAAGUACUCCUGGUUGUUUAAAGCCACUGAGAUUGGGAUGUUUGUAUUACUGAAUCCUUCUUCACUGAUAAAGUCCCAUUUCAUCCACUCUCCAUUACAAGACUCAACCCAGACAGAUGACAACUCACACCCAUCUAUCUGCUCAGAGUCUAAAAGAAAACACACUUGGGAAAAAA